Molecule: long non-coding RNA, 413 nt
Filed under: Anas platyrhynchos platyrhynchos (common mallard)
Lineage: Eukaryota; Metazoa; Chordata; Aves; Anseriformes; Anatidae
Description: lncRNA (ENSAPLG00000020373.1)
Source: RNAcentral
AUGCAUAGGAGAUCUGGAGUUAGCUCUGAGGACCACGGGCAUCUUCAGCCAUCACAUCAAGGUUCACUUCUGAGAAGUGGGACUAUCCAUCCCAGUGCACCCCAGGAGCAGAGGCAGAGGCAGAGACAGAAGCAGGGAAGCAAAGCAGUGCCUGCUGACUUCCAACAGUUGAAGGAUGCAAGGACUGGAGUGAACGUGCAACACAGUGGACCCCUGACUGUCCAGAGAGAGAGUCUGACCAAAUCUGUCCUUCUGAAAGGACAAAACAGCAAAGCUGAGGACAAGGGUCACUGUCCCAGUUUGGACUGCAUUCACAGCAUAAAGGACCAGAAAGUUGUAAAGGGAUCCUAACACUCCCUAAUUUUAACACCAGAAAGAAUAAACAUGAAAACCUUCUGAGAACUCUUCUUGUA